CACAUUUUGCAAUUGCGUCGAACUCCUUGAGGUAUCACUCAUUUCAAGAUUUGAGGAAAAUUUAUAUUCUCACUCCGCUGCCAGAGUCUCAGCCACCGGUUUAACCUGGUCUUGCUUGUCAAGUUGGCUAAAAUUUCCCUUCUCCUUAAAGAGUUGGUUGUGAUGGUGCCUACAAUAGAGACGAUGCUCAUGGGCUACAUAGUUUGAUGGGCUGAUUACACAGCCUCCAUGAGCGCACCUGAAACAUGCCUUGUGAUAUGAUGUCCCGUCGACUGCCACCUUUUCAAGGGGAUAAACUGUUUUCUUGCAAGCAACACAUUUAUCCUGAGUUCCAGCAAACAUGCUUGAAACUUUGGUGUUGCUAUGGACCUGAUCGGCAGAUCUGUUAACAGUUUUAGGAGUGCCUUCAAAGCUUUUAUCCAAGCUUCCAGUCAUCUUAAAUAGUUGAUCAAAGUGUGGCUUGCAAUACAAAACACCUUCAAAGGAGGAGUAAUUACUCAGCUUAAGGGUACCCUUACAGUGGUGGCACCUAAAACAAGCCUUGUGAUAGACUUUGUUGUCAGCAGUAAGCUGAUCCACCAAGUACACAGUCUUCUCACAUGCCUUACACUUCUGGGUUGUCCCUGCAAAUGUUGCCAUAUUUGAUCAAUCUCUCUCCCUCUCGGUAUCUUCAACACUGCCAAAUAGAUAUCAACUGAAUCGAGAGAAACUCUGCAGCGUCUUCUUGAGAUGAUUUGGUGAUAAAGAGAAGACUUUCAAAAUUCCGAGAUUCACAGCUCAGAGAUAAAUACAGGACUCUUUUUUUUUUUUUU
Molecule: unclassified non-coding RNA, 812 nt
Filed under: Hevea brasiliensis (rubber tree)
Lineage: Eukaryota; Viridiplantae; Streptophyta; Magnoliopsida; Malpighiales; Euphorbiaceae
Source: RNAcentral